CCUACGGGAGGCAGCAGUAGGGAAUUUUCGUCAAUGGGCGCAAGCCUGAACGAGCAAUGCCGCGUGAACGAGGAAGGUCUUCGGAUCGUAAAGUUCUGUUGAAGGGGAAAAAGAGCGGAGAGAGGAAAUGGUCUCCGAUUGAUAUUACCCUUCGAGGAAGUCACGGCUAACUACGUGCCAGCAGCCGCGGUAAUACGUAGGGGGCGAGCGUUAUCCGGAUUCACUGGGUGUAAAGGGAGCGUAGACGGCCAAGCAAGCCAGGGGUGAAAGCCCGGGGCCCAACCCCGGGACUGCCCUUGGAACUGCAGGGCUGGAGUGCGGGAGGGGCAGGCGGAAUUCCUGGUGUAGCGGUGAAAUGCGUAGAUAUCAGGAGGAACACCGGCGGCGAAGGCGGCCUGCUGGACCGCGACUGACGUUGAGGCUCGAAAGCGUGGGGAGCGAACAGGAUUAGAUACCCCAGUAGUC
This 465-nucleotide ribosomal RNA is filed under the name uncultured bacterium. RNAcentral describes it as "partial 16S ribosomal RNA". It matches the Rfam family "Bacterial small subunit ribosomal RNA", at positions 338 to 795 of the family's 1533-position model. The record is from RNAcentral.